GAUGAACGCUGGCGGCGUGCCUAAUACAUGCAAGUCGAGCGAACAGACGAGGAGCUUGCUCCUCUGACGUUAGCGGCGGACGGGUGAGUAACACGUGGAUAACCUACCUAUAAGACUGGGAUAACUUCGGGAAACCGGAGCUAAUACCGGAUAAUAUAUUGAACCGCAUGGUUCAAUAGUGAAAGACGGUUUUGCUGUCACUUAUAGAUGGAUCCGCGCCGCAUUAGCUAGUUGGUAAGGUAACGGCUUACCAAGGCAACGAUGCGUAGCCGACCUGAGAGGGUGAUCGGCCACACUGGAACUGAGACACGGUCCAGACUCCUACGGGAGGCAGCAGUAGGGAAUAUUCCGCAAUGGGCGAAAGCCUGACGGAGCCACGCCGCGUGAGUGAUGAAGGUCUUCGGAUCGUAAAACUCUGUUAUUAGGGAAGAACAAAUGUGUAAGUAACUAUGCACGUCUUGACGGUACCUAAUCAGAAAGCCACGGCUAACUACGUG
Molecule: ribosomal RNA, 497 nt
Filed under: uncultured bacterium
Lineage: Bacteria
Description: partial 16S ribosomal RNA
Rfam family: Bacterial small subunit ribosomal RNA
Source: RNAcentral